This 460-nucleotide ribosomal RNA is filed under the name uncultured bacterium. Its description in RNAcentral is "partial 16S ribosomal RNA". It matches the Rfam family "Bacterial small subunit ribosomal RNA", at positions 338 to 795 of the family's 1533-position model. The record is from RNAcentral.
CCUACGGGUGGCAGCAGUGAGGAAUAUUGGUCAAUGGGCGUAAGCCUGAACCAGCCAAGUCGCGUGAGUGAUGAAGGUUCUAUGGAUCGUAAACAUCUUUUAUAAGGGAAUAAAGUGUGGGACGUGUCCUAUUUUGUAUGUACCUUAUGAAUAAGGAUCGGCUAACUCCGUGCCAGCAGCCGCGGUAAUACGGAGGAUCCGAGCGUUAUCCGGAUUUGUUGGGUUUAAAGCGUACGUAGGCGGCCUUUUAAGUCAGCGGUGAAAGUAUGUGGCUCAACCAUAGAAUUGCCGUUGAAACUGGGGGGCUUGAGUAUGUUUGAGGCAGGCGGAAUGCGUGGUGUAGCGGUGAAAUGCUUAGAUAUCACGCAGAACCCCGAUUGCGAAGGCAGCCUGCCAAGCCAUGACUGACGCUGAUGCACGAAAGCGUGGGGAUCAAACAGGAUUAGAUACCCCUGUAGUC